This 445-nucleotide ribosomal RNA is filed under the name uncultured bacterium. RNAcentral describes it as "partial 16S ribosomal RNA". It matches the Rfam family "Bacterial small subunit ribosomal RNA", at positions 354 to 796 of the family's 1533-position model. The record is from RNAcentral.
GUAGGGAAUAUUGGGCAAUGGAUGCAAGUCUGACCCAGCCAUCCCGCGUGCCGGAAGAAGGCCCUCAGGGUUGUAAACGGCUUUUGACGGUGAAGAAUCGACAGGAUGCGUCCUGUUUUGACGGUAGCCGUUGAAUAAGCACCGGCUAACUCCGUGCCAGCAGCCGCGGUAAUACGGAGGGUGCGAGCGUUGUCCGGAUUUAUUGGGUUUAAAGGGUGCGUAGGCUGGAAGGUCAGUCAGCGGUGAAAAGCUGUCACUUAACGAUAGUCUUGCCGCAGAUACUUCCUUUCUUGGAUGAGGAGGAGGCCACUGGAACGGAUGGUGUAGCGGUGAAAUGCAUAGAUAUCAUCCAGAACACCGAUUGCGAAGGCAGGUGGCUGUACCUUAAUCGACGCUGAUGCACGAAAGCAUGGGGAGCAAACAGGAUUAGAAACCCGUGUAGUCC